UUUAGAGGGAAGAAAGGUUAUAGCUACCACUGCUGAUCUCAUGACUUCCUCGCGUCCUGGGUCCAGCUGAUGCUGUGUCAUCGAUCGUCGUGGUCUUUGGUGGGGAAGCUUCCCAUUUUUGUUGUCCAGAAGUCAUCCUUUUAUACUCAGUAACACACCUUGCUCCACCUCUGCCUCAGGG
Molecule: long non-coding RNA, 181 nt
Organism: Athene cunicularia (burrowing owl)
Lineage: Eukaryota; Metazoa; Chordata; Aves; Strigiformes; Strigidae
Exons: 3
Source: RefSeq, a predicted model, not a curated record